CCGUAACACAAGCCGGGACUAAAGGGUCCUGCUCAACGGCUGCCUGUCAGGGUUGUCGGGGCAGGGACCCUUUAGUCCCGGCUCGUGUUACGGU
Molecule: microRNA precursor, 94 nt
Organism: Sorghum bicolor (sorghum)
Lineage: Eukaryota; Viridiplantae; Streptophyta; Magnoliopsida; Poales; Poaceae
Rfam family: MIR5387 microRNA precursor family
Source: Rfam